Molecule: long non-coding RNA, 511 nt
Organism: Lolium perenne
Lineage: Eukaryota; Viridiplantae; Streptophyta; Magnoliopsida; Poales; Poaceae
Source: RefSeq, a predicted model, not a curated record
AUAUUAAUUUUUCCCACCAAACAUUGUUGCCAGUUGUGUACUUUGCGCCAAUAAUUUUGUAAUCUUCCCGCUAACCACCCUUAAUUACUUUCCCUAUAAUUUUGUUUAUUUUUUCCCACCAAAAAUAUUUAGCUUCUAUAUAAACCUUACCGCUAAUCGCCCUCAUAACUAAUCCCGGUUGGCGCUCCAAACUAAAUCACGGCGUUAUACCACAAGAUUGGAUCUCAUCUCGUUGCUGGUUCCUCCGUGCUCAUGACGGUGUCAAGGAUGCGAACCACACCGGAGUCAACGGCACGGCCAGGGGCACGACGAAUGACUCAGGAUCCAAACAACUAGCUGGACUGGACACUAGAUGACAGACAUAGUUUAGUCUUGGCACUAAAUUAGGAUGCUAAAUUAUAUAUAAGUUUUAUUUGAUAGAUAUUUUCUACGACAAUUAUGAUUUUUAUGAAUCAAUAUGUAUAUUAUACACAUGGUUUUGAAUUUUGUAAUUGAAUGCAUGGGUUUUUUA